GGACGGGUGAGGAAUACAUCGGAAUCUACUUUUUCGUGGGGGAUAACGUAGGGAAACUUACGCUAAUACCGCAUACGACCUACGGGUGAAAGCAGGGGAUCUUCGGACCUUGCGCGAUUGAAUGAGCCGAUGUCGGAUUAGCUAGUUGGCGGGGUAAAGGCCCACCAAGGCGACGAUCCGUAGCUGGUCUNNNAGGAUGAUCAGCCACACUGGAACUGGGACACGGUCCAGACUCCUACGGGAGGCAGCAGUGGGGAAUAUUGGACAAUGGGCGCAAGCCUGAUCCAGCCAUACCGCGUGGGUGAAGAAGGCCUUCGGGUUGUAAAGCCCUUUUGUUGGGAAAGAAAUCCAGCCGGCUAAUACCUGGUUGGGAUGACGGUACCCAAAGAAUAAGCACCGGCUAACUUCGUGCCAGCAGCCGCGGUAAUACGAAGGGUGCAAGCGUUACUCGGAAUUACUGGGCGUAAAGCGUGCGUAGGUGGUUAUUUAAGUCCGUUGUGAAAGCCCUGGGCUCAACCUGGGAACUGCAGUGGAUACUGGAUGACUAGAAUGUGGUAGAGGGUAGCGGAAUUCCUGGUGUAGCAGUGAAAUGCGUAGAGAUCAGGAGGAACAUCCAUGGCGAAGGCAGCUACCUGGACCAACAUUGACACUGAGGCACGAAAGCGUGGGGAGCAAACAGGAUUAGAUACCCUGGUAGUCCACGCCCUAAACGAUGCGAACUGGAUGUUGGGUGCAAUUUGGCACGCAGUAUCGAAGCUAACGCGUUAAGUUCGCCGCCUGGGG
This 783-nucleotide ribosomal RNA is filed under the name uncultured bacterium. Its description in RNAcentral is "bacterial SSU rRNA". It matches the Rfam family "Bacterial small subunit ribosomal RNA", at positions 100 to 878 of the family's 1533-position model. The record is from RNAcentral.